UAACGCGUGGGUAACCUGCCAUAUACAGGGGGAUAACAGCGAGAAAUUGCUGCUAAAACUGCAUAAGCGCACGGAGUCGCAUGACUCAGUGUGAAAAACUCCGGUGGUAUAUGAUGGACCCGCGUCUGAUUAGCCAGUUGGCAGGGUAACGGCCUACCAAAGCGACGAUCAGUAGCCGGCCUGAGAGGGUGGACGGCCACAUUGGGACUGAGACACGGCCCAAACUCCUACGGGAGGCAGCAG
RNAcentral lists this ribosomal RNA (243 nucleotides) under uncultured bacterium. Its description in RNAcentral is "partial 16S ribosomal RNA". It matches the Rfam family "Bacterial small subunit ribosomal RNA", at positions 111 to 354 of the family's 1533-position model. The record is from RNAcentral.